Molecule: long non-coding RNA, 167 nt
Organism: Aethalodelphis obliquidens (Pacific white-sided dolphin)
Lineage: Eukaryota; Metazoa; Chordata; Mammalia; Artiodactyla; Delphinidae
Exons: 3
Source: RefSeq, a predicted model, not a curated record
UCUCUAGUGCGGUGAGCAGGGGCUACUCUUUGUUGUGGUGCGCGGGCUUCUCAUCGCGGUGGCUUCUCUUGUUGCGGAGCACAGGCUCUAGGUGCGUGGUCUUCAGUCGUUGCGGCACGUGAGCUCAGUAGUUGUGGCGCACGGGCUUAGUUGCUCCGCGGCAGGUG